RNAcentral lists this ribosomal RNA (253 nucleotides) under uncultured bacterium. Its description in RNAcentral is "partial 16S ribosomal RNA". It matches the Rfam family "Bacterial small subunit ribosomal RNA", at positions 524 to 776 of the family's 1533-position model. The record is from RNAcentral.
UACGAAGGGGGCUAGCGUUGUGCGGAAUUACUGGGCGUAAAGGGCGCGUAGGCGGCGUGUCAAGUCAGGCGGGAAAGCCCCGGGCUCAACCUGGGAACCGCGCUUGAGACUGGCAUGCUCGAGUUCGGGAGAGGAUGGUGGAAUUCCCAGUGUAGAGGUGAAAUUCGUAGAUAUUGGGAAGAACACCGAUGGCGAAGGCAGCCAUCUGGACCGACACUGACGCUGAGGCGCGAAAGCGUGGGGAGCAAACAGG